Molecule: ribosomal RNA, 498 nt
Filed under: uncultured bacterium
Lineage: Bacteria
Description: partial 16S ribosomal RNA
Rfam family: Bacterial small subunit ribosomal RNA
Source: RNAcentral
GACGAACGCUGGCGGCGUGCUUAACACAUGCAAGUCGAACGGUAACGCGGGGCAACCUGGCGACGAGUGGCGAACGGGUGAGUAACGCAUCGGAACGUGCCCAGUAGUGGGGGAUAGCCCGGCGAAAGCCGGAUUAAUACCGCAUACGACCUACGGGUGAAAGGGGGGGAUCGCAAGACCUCUCGCUAUUGGAGCGGCCGAUGUCAGAUUAGGUAGUUGGUGGGGUAAAGGCCUACCAAGCCUGCGAUCUGUAGCUGGUCUGAGAGGACGACCAGCCACACUGGGACUGAGACACGGCCCAGACUCCUACGGGAGGCAGCAGUGGGGAAUUUUGGACAAUGGGCGCAAGCCUGAUCCAGCCAUGCCGCGUGCGGGAAGAAGGCCUUCGGGUUGUAAACCGCUUUUGUCAGGGAAGAAAAGCCUUGGGUUAAUACCCUGGGGUGAUGACGGUACCUGAAGAAUAAGCACCGGCUAACUACGUGCCAGCCGCCGCAGUAA